This 7110-nucleotide unclassified non-coding RNA is filed under the name Penaeus japonicus. Its description in RNAcentral is "nuclear factor of activated T-cells 5-like, transcript variant X2". Lineage: Eukaryota; Metazoa; Arthropoda; Malacostraca; Decapoda; Penaeidae. The record is from RNAcentral.
CAGCUCCUCGCGGGAGAUGCGGAACCUGGCGGAGAAGAUGCGGCGCGACAAGCUCAACAAUUACGUAACGGAACUGGCGGGGAUCGUUCCGCUCGGUUCCGGCGCCAACAAGAGAGUGGACAAGACUUCCGUCCUCCGACUUGCCGCCAACUACAUUAGAAUGCACAAGUUACUAAGGGACGAGGAGGGCGAGGAUGACCGGCUGUCUGUGCUGAUGAAAGGUGACAUCUCAAACACCCUAGCAGAGGCUGUAGGAGGGUUCUUGUUAGUGGUAACUUCUUCAGGAAAAGUUGUGUACAUCACUGAGGCUGUGGAGCAGUUCUUUGGUCAUAGCCAGGUGGAUCUUCUGGGACACAGUGUCUAUAAUGUUAUACAUCCAGAUGACCAUGAAAUCUUUCAACAUCAGCUUCAAGCAAAAGAACAGUCUAGGAGAUCUUUUUUUUGCCGCAUGAUGGAGAAAGCAUUAUCAAGAAAUGAUCCAGGUCGUUAUGAGAUAAUUCAUAUUGUUGGCCAGAUGAAGCCAAUCCCCCAAUCUGAGGUCCCAGUGCCCUCUCCAAGCAUGUCUGCAUCAUCACCUGAGACUGCCAGUACCUCAAGUAAACAUGGUGAUGAUGAUGACAACGACGAAUCAGAUGGAGAUGUGCAGCCUCUAAAAGUUGCCAACAGAACUGGUACACAUAUGCUAGUCAGCUUUGUGCGGGUGGUAAAAGACCGUCCCAUCACAGAGCUCUCCCUGGUUGAUUCAACUCAAGAAGAGUACAUUACCAGGCAUGGCACAGAUGGGAAGAUACUCUAUACCGAUCACAGAAUAUCUUUUGUGACGGGUCUGAUGCCAUCUGAAGUUCUUGGUACUUCAGCAUUUAAUUACAUGCACCAAGAUGACAUGGUUUGGUCAGUGGUGGCACAGAAGCUCAUGCUUACGAGUAGCCUUGGUCAGGGAGUUGUCUCAUACAGACUAAGGUGCAAGGAUGGUACCUAUGUCACCUUAAGAACAAGGGGCUUCUUGGAAUUCAAUAAGCAAAAGGGACAAGUGGAUUCCUUUGUGUGUAUAAAUACAGUUUUAAGUGUAAAAGAAGCAGCUUCAGAGAUCAAGAACCAGAGAAGGAAACUCCUGCCAAUGAUAACUUGCCAAGAGUCAGAUGAACAUCUUAAUUCAGUUUCUUCUUCGUUUCCACCAGAGAUGUUGAUGAUACUCAAACAGGUGAUGAAUCCAGAUAUGAUUCAGAAAAUGAUUAAUUCUGUAGAACAACCAGAAAUUGAGGCUGAAGGCCCUGGCAAAAGUAUGCUACAGCAUAAUGAAGCUUCCACAUGCUCAAGUUCUGUGACCUCAAGAAAUGUACAAUCUGAAAGUGAAUCAGAUUUUAUGAGGCAAAGCUCAAGAAACAAGAGGACAAGGUUACAAAGUGAUUCCUCCAGUGGUUGCUUUAGUGAAAAUAUACAAAAAAAAAUUCAAAUUAAUAAAGAUGAAUUUAGCUUUGAGGAGGUUAAGAUAUGCAGUAUUACUAAAAAACAAAUGCCAGAUGAACCUUUUACAGAGGUCUCAACAAAAAGAUUUAGUUUUCAAAGAGAGCUUACGGGUUCAGAUCCCAUGCAAUCUGAUUAUAGCCCUAGUUCGGUUCAUGAAAGCAAUAUACAAAGCAAACUGACCAAGCCAGGUGUGCCUGUAUUUGCAUCAGGAACAGGAAUUAAUCAGGGAUUACCAAUUGACCGUAAUCCACAACAAGAUACUGCAAGCCUUCCAUAUCCAUUAAAUCCUCAGAAAAAAGAGUUUGCUGGUAUGGCAUCGGCUGGAAAGUUUUGUGACAAUAUAGUCAGUAAUCAUUAUUCUCCAUGGAUGCAGCAGAGUAAUAGAAGUCCAAAUUUACUCUCCCCGGAAUGCUAUCCUCAAAGUGAUGGUAUUAAUCAAUCAGCAAAGAGUCCAAAUGCAGGAAGUAAUAUACCAUCCUCAAGAUAUGUAGACCAAAAAUUUAUACCUUCUCCAGGACAAUUUGACCAGAGCAGGAGUGGAAACAUUCCCUCUCCAGGAAGCUGUGAUAUGCCUGUUCCUUUCCAAAGGGCAGGAAUGAACCAGUCUCCUAAUCCCUGUGACCAAAGAAGUCAGAAUUUACCUGCAGGUUCUUAUGAAGAACAAUGGACAAGUUCACGAUCUCCAAACCAAUGUAAUCCUUGUGUUGGAAGUUUGGCAUCUCUUAGUCAGUAUGACCAAAGAGGUGGAAGUUUGUCUUCUCCUGGUCAUUAUGAUGAGAGAGCUGGACACGUGACAUCUCAAAGUGUGUAUGACCAAAGAGAUGGAGGCAUUGCUGUUACCAGCCAAGGAGAACAGAGAGGUCAGAAUUUGAUUCCUGACCAGUAUGGCCAACGAAGUGGAAACCUGUCGUCUAAUGAAUAUUUAAAAUCUUCAAGCAUGUAUCAUCCAAAAAGUUCAAAUAUGCAUUCCCCAGAAAGCCAGAAUAUGAAUAUUUUAAAUUACAGAAAUCAACAGCUUAAGAGUGAAGCCAAUGUCACAUCUGGAGAACAGCUAUUUGAAUCACAAAUCCAAAUGUGUCCGCAGUACAUUCAGACUCCCACCACAAGUACUCCCUUACAACACCAACAACAUCAUCACCAACAGCAGCAGCAGCAGCAACAGCAGCAGCAGCAGCAGCAGCAACAACAACAACAACAACAACCUCAGCAAUUUGGACAAAAACAGCACUACCAGCUGGUAAAACAGUUUUCAAAACCAGUUCAGGGCAAGUCCACUUCUGACAUGGGGCAUUCCAGCUACCUCUCUUCAAUGUCAGAAUUCGCUAUACAAACGACAGUCUUGCAGCAGCACCAACCAAGAAUAGAUCAGCAGGCUGCUCUCCCCAGCAUGAGUCUUUCUCAGCCAUUUAAUUUUGUAGGAGAAGGAAAUAAUGAAUCCUACAAAAGCUCACAGGCACUUGCCGGACAGGGGAGUGAUAUGGCAAUGCCCUUCAACGUAAAAUAUAAACCAAACACUAAUCCUAAUUUCGAUCCAUCUGUAUCCCUUUUGGGUUCAGACACCUUUGUACCUGUAACACUCAGUAAGAGGAACCAAUCAGAAAGGCAACAUAAACACUCUACCACCCAUUGAUUGUAGAGCCAAAUGGUUAAGAUGUGGACAACUGCUUCAGGAUAGGCUGAUGCCUGUUAGCUCCAUAGAGAGGAAGUCUGAACCUCCUUAAUGCCAACUUGUUGCACUACCUACAAGAGUGCAAGUAUACUCACUUAAUUAGACAUGCAUCACAGAUAGGUGAAAAGAUUAUGCCUCUUAUUUAAUCCAUAGAAGCUGGAGCACCACCAUCAUAAAUUUUCAGUUAUGUGAUGGUCAGGUGGGACCACUCCAAAUACCUGAAACAGGGAAAGCUUCUGUGAUAUAUGGAUAAUCUGCAUCCUGAACCUCCUCUGUGAUAACACUACAAAAUCCUGUAUGCUGGGCAAAGAAUCUGUUUUGAUGAAAAGUGGGUAUGAUGCCCUCAAAAACAGGUCAACUAAGAACAAGAGCAGAGAAGAUAGUUCUAUGAAUAUUUGCUAAAUUCAAAUUAUAGGUAAAAAUGUUCAUGGUAUAUUUUCAUAAAAAGAGAAAAUUCAGAUUCUUAUUAUAAGAGGGUCAGUAAUGAGUGAAUGUUUAUUAUGAGUGAAAGGCCUGUAGUGUAUCUAUUAUAGAAUUACAGACAAGCUUGGGUUUGUCAUAUGGUGUUCACAAGUUCACCUCAACAUUCCACUCUUUCAUAAUGUCAUGAUGUAUGCAGUCAUAUGAUUAUAUGAUUAUGAGAAACCCCCCAUUUUUUCAUAAUCUUACUGUUGCUAGAGUAAUGUUGAUUUUCUUUUGAGCUUCAGAAUGGAUUAAUAAUCUUACUUCUAGCACAGGCUGAUUACAAUAUGAAUAUGUACAGUAACACUUCUUUUUCUCUGUUUGUUUGUUUCUAUUUUGUUGUUGUUUUUUGAUUGAUUGAUAUUAAUAUAUAUUUCAGGGCUUAUUCAUGAAGAAUCCAUUACAAUCAAUGGAGUCAUCAUAUGCAGUUAUUUAAUAUUAUCACCUUUACGAUACAAAGUUCGAUACAUUACCUCCAAAGUAUAAACAGUUUUCAAGUUCCUUUUAGAUAAUCAAAUAUGGACCUUCCCUUUAGGUCUGGUAGCAAAAUGAGAAUUACAGAAUCGAACAUUUUGAUUAAAUAAGAUGUCAGUCACUUUGGUGUUGCCAAGAUUUUAAAAGAAGAUUGGAAUUAAACUGUUGUAAAAGAACAUAUUUGUUUGUGAUAUAAAGCUCAUAAAUUAAGGACAAAGAGUAUAUUUUAUGCAGAUAUAUAAAAUAUGUUUAAUAAAAUAUAGUUAGAAUGUAUGUAAUGAAAUAUAUAUUUAACUGGUAAAUGGAAUGAACCAUUUCUGGUAAUUUAUGAGUGUAGAAUAAAUGUUUUAUGCUCAAAUAAGUCGAACUGAAAUUACUUUGUCAGAGAUAGUAUAAAGAGUAUUAAAUUUCCCCCAAAGCAUAUAUGUAUGAUUCACUGAAUUAGGUCAAAAUAUCUGUUGAGCUUACUGAUAGGUCAAAGCUAACAUGAGCUAGGAACCAAUGUCAGUGUAAUUGAAAUAUUUUUGCACACUCAUUAUAUUUAAACUUUUAGUAUUAUUAAAUCUUCAGGAUGCUCCUUCAUGCUUCAUGUUUAAUCCAGAAUUUGCUCAAUAAGCCAAUCUUAAAGAAUGUCCUGGUUAAGUAAGGGAAUUGUUGUUGACUCCCACAUUUGUUGCCGUAAGAUUUACAGUUUGCCAAAAUAUUAUACUUAUUCAAAAGAAAGAAAUUACAGAAGGAUUCAUGCACAAAUAAAUACUAGUUGAAUAUUUAAACAUCACACAUGACACUGAUAUAUAUCUUAUUAUUUGUUGUAAUAUUGUUUUUUUAUUCAUUCAAUCAGGAAAAAAAAGAGAAAUGAAUUAAAUUGUUAGCAAAUUAUACUUACCUGAUGUUAGGAAAUAUCCCAAUUCUCCCCUAUAGUACAAAUAGUGUGAAUGUUUCUGUGGAUGAAAUAUUAAAUUUCCAAAGAGUGAAUGAAUCAAACAUACAUACAAAGACAGAUACUUUAACAGACAUGUGCAAACACUAAUAGCUUCCUGCAGACAUACACACACAACCAGCACAUUCACACAUGCUCUCAUGUAUAUAUGCAUAGACAAUUAAUUUUUGAGUGAUUAUGAAUUAUUUACUCUUUAAGAAUUUGAUUAUAUAAAAUAUAUGUGCAACUGUGUACAGUGUAUUUUUUAUUGAUUGUCGGUAUCUUAUUGCAGACCAUGUUAAGAAUAACAAACAUAUAUGUUUAUAAGAUUUAUAUUGUAUAAAUUUGAUUUUCUUGUAUAUAGCACUCAAAGGGUGGCAUCCAUGAAGAAAUGUUGUAAACUAUACUCAUCAUAACUUGCGAGUUUCACCACUUCAUAAUUUUAACUGGUAUCCAUGAAGCCUGAAUACAUGAGGAUAUGGGAUCAGGUUGAUGUAAUGUCACCUAGGAUGUAAAGUAAUAACACCAACACUCAAAAUCUACAAAUCAUAGGGCUGGUAGCCACUGCCAGCUAGGAAAGGUCUUGCAUUAUUAAUGCAGAGAUUAAUAAAGUUUGGAAAAUGACCAUAGUCUUUCAUUUUUCUAUACACAGAAUACAGAUCAUUCACACAGGUAAUUGCAGAUAGUUCCCAAUGCAUUAUAAUUUACAAAUUAAAGUAUUCAUAGUAUUGUAAAAAGACAAAUAAAGAACAAAAUUCUUUAUAUGACAUAUUGUAAUAUUCAUAUUUGGACAAUGAAAAAUCUCCAAAUAUAUCUGAAAGAGAUAGUAGAUUAAAUAUUUAUUUAUAAUAUGAACAAUUAGAUUUUGAGAAAGCAGUAUGAAAUAAAAUACUGUUUUACAAAGUACCCUGUUCCUUCCUGAUGAUCCUCCAGUCCCAGCACUGAAAAGUCAGUCACUUAUUUGAAUUGGCUAAUAAUGUCAAAAGAUUAGUAUUGAUAUUUAUAUGAUUUUAAUUACCAUAUAAAACUGUACAUAAUGCACAGAUUGUUGGGUUACAAAAAAAAAAAAAAAAAAAAAAAAAAAUUGACAGUAUUUACAUUUAAAGUAACUGAUUGCUGUUGAAAAUAUAUACAAAUGUACAUGGUGUAUCAAAUAAUUAUAACUUUUUGACAAUGAAAAUCCUGUAGUAAAAAAAUAUUUAUAUUGCAAUGAGGGCAGUGUUUUUGUUUAUGGUAAAAGGACAAUAAAUGGUAAAUUUGAAAAAAUAAUAGUAAGAUACUGGUUUUAUGUCACUCAGUAUCUGAGAUUAGACAUUUGGUAAGUGGCUGUAUAUUUUGGGAAAAUCACAUAUUACCUGAUUGAUUAGCUUAGCUUAUUUAUCUUGGUUUAGGUUAACCUACUCUAACCUAAAUUUAAUCACCAUGCAGUGUGUGCAAUUUCAAGCUGACUUGUAAAAGUAUCGUCAAUCAGACAAUAAGUGAAUUAAUUGAAAUUGUUGAAUGGGUAUACCAGUCACUGAUUAAGCUAUUUGACUCAAUUAUGAUACUUGUUCACUGUAGCUAGAUAUGGACAUACUUUGCAUAUAUGCUGAUAUUGGUGUUGUUGUUCCAAUUUUACUGUAUUUGGAGUAAGCCAGUUUAAAGUACAGUGGUGUGUUAUGGAAUAUUGUUAUCUUAUCUCUGAUUUAACCUGCAUUUAGUCUCAUUUACUGCUGGGUUAGAGAGUUUGCAAUGCAUGAACUGCAGAUCAAGCCUCCCAACUCUUCAUGUCAAAGGCUUCAUGGAUUGAGGUAGAUAGGUUUUGUGGAACUGAUGCUUCUGGAUGCUGCCCAAGAUGUGCUUUUGCAGCUAAAACUUUCUUUGUGAAUUGAUGUAGUGACAAGAUGAAGCAAGACAGUAUCUUUCAUUUCUGAUUUUCAUACGAUGAUUUGCAAUUUCCAUUGAUGUAGAUAAAGACCUCAUGAGUACAUUUUAGCUUUAUGUGUUAGCAAUGCAUGGAUACUACUAAUAUUGAAUGUUUCUUUGUAUGCAAUUGUAAGAGAUGUGUGUCUAUAUAUAUUUUUUUUUUAAUGUGAUUUUUUUGUAUCAUAUGGCUGUGUGAAUACAUAAGUUAAAUGGA